Molecule: unclassified non-coding RNA, 399 nt
Filed under: Hevea brasiliensis (rubber tree)
Lineage: Eukaryota; Viridiplantae; Streptophyta; Magnoliopsida; Malpighiales; Euphorbiaceae
Source: RNAcentral
GUGAUGAUAAUGUCUAUACCUCUCUUCUUACUCUUCUUAACACCUCCAUCAUCAACCUCUACUUGUUUCCGUACUAAUUGCUUGAUUUCUGAAUUGGGUUUUGGGGAUUCUCUGAGAUGUCUAAGUCUAAGUCUUUCUAAUAGAAUUGAAUGCUUAACAGGUUGAAGUGCAUCUUCUUCUUCAGCAACAGCAGCAUAAGAAGGAGCAGUAGUAGUUGUAGAAGAAAGGGGUCUAAACCCUAGAUAAACCCUGCGAGGCUGAGGAAGAAGAGGGUUUCUGGUUAAGGGAAAACGAAAAGGGAGGAGAGAAAGGUUGAGCAGGGCUCUGCCUGUAACUCCCAUUUGUGCUAUCUUGAAGCUUGGUUGAUGACACUCUAAUGGAGUAUAUACAGAGGCUAAA